Molecule: ribosomal RNA, 2904 nt
Filed under: Escherichia coli
Lineage: Bacteria; Pseudomonadati; Pseudomonadota; Gammaproteobacteria; Enterobacterales; Enterobacteriaceae
Description: 23S ribosomal RNA
Rfam family: Bacterial large subunit ribosomal RNA
Source: RNAcentral
GGUUAAGCGACUAAGCGUACACGGUGGAUGCCCUGGCAGUCAGAGGCGAUGAAGGACGUGCUAAUCUGCGAUAAGCGUCGGUAAGGUGAUAUGAACCGUUAUAACCGGCGAUUUCCGAAUGGGGAAACCCAGUGUGUUUCGACACACUAUCAUUAACUGAAUCCAUAGGUUAAUGAGGCGAACCGGGGGAACUGAAACAUCUAAGUACCCCGAGGAAAAGAAAUCAACCGAGAUUCCCCCAGUAGCGGCGAGCGAACGGGGAGCAGCCCAGAGCCUGAAUCAGUGUGUGUGUUAGUGGAAGCGUCUGGAAAGGCGCGCGAUACAGGGUGACAGCCCCGUACACAAAAAUGCACAUGCUGUGAGCUCGAUGAGUAGGGCGGGACACGUGGUAUCCUGUCUGAAUAUGGGGGGACCAUCCUCCAAGGCUAAAUACUCCUGACUGACCGAUAGUGAACCAGUACCGUGAGGGAAAGGCGAAAAGAACCCCGGCGAGGGGAGUGAAAAAGAACCUGAAACCGUGUACGUACAAGCAGUGGGAGCACGCUUAGGCGUGUGACUGCGUACCUUUUGUAUAAUGGGUCAGCGACUUAUAUUCUGUAGCAAGGUUAACCGAAUAGGGGAGCCGAAGGGAAACCGAGUCUUAACUGGGCGUUAAGUUGCAGGGUAUAGACCCGAAACCCGGUGAUCUAGCCAUGGGCAGGUUGAAGGUUGGGUAACACUAACUGGAGGACCGAACCGACUAAUGUUGAAAAAUUAGCGGAUGACUUGUGGCUGGGGGUGAAAGGCCAAUCAAACCGGGAGAUAGCUGGUUCUCCCCGAAAGCUAUUUAGGUAGCGCCUCGUGAAUUCAUCUCCGGGGGUAGAGCACUGUUUCGGCAAGGGGGUCAUCCCGACUUACCAACCCGAUGCAAACUGCGAAUACCGGAGAAUGUUAUCACGGGAGACACACGGCGGGUGCUAACGUCCGUCGUGAAGAGGGAAACAACCCAGACCGCCAGCUAAGGUCCCAAAGUCAUGGUUAAGUGGGAAACGAUGUGGGAAGGCCCAGACAGCCAGGAUGUUGGCUUAGAAGCAGCCAUCAUUUAAAGAAAGCGUAAUAGCUCACUGGUCGAGUCGGCCUGCGCGGAAGAUGUAACGGGGCUAAACCAUGCACCGAAGCUGCGGCAGCGACGCUUAUGCGUUGUUGGGUAGGGGAGCGUUCUGUAAGCCUGUGAAGGUGUGCUGUGAGGCAUGCUGGAGGUAUCAGAAGUGCGAAUGCUGACAUAAGUAACGAUAAAGCGGGUGAAAAGCCCGCUCGCCGGAAGACCAAGGGUUCCUGUCCAACGUUAAUCGGGGCAGGGUGAGUCGACCCCUAAGGCGAGGCCGAAAGGCGUAGUCGAUGGGAAACAGGUUAAUAUUCCUGUACUUGGUGUUACUGCGAAGGGGGGACGGAGAAGGCUAUGUUGGCCGGGCGACGGUUGUCCCGGUUUAAGCGUGUAGGCUGGUUUUCCAGGCAAAUCCGGAAAAUCAAGGCUGAGGCGUGAUGACGAGGCACUACGGUGCUGAAGCAACAAAUGCCCUGCUUCCAGGAAAAGCCUCUAAGCAUCAGGUAACAUCAAAUCGUACCCCAAACCGACACAGGUGGUCAGGUAGAGAAUACCAAGGCGCUUGAGAGAACUCGGGUGAAGGAACUAGGCAAAAUGGUGCCGUAACUUCGGGAGAAGGCACGCUGAUAUGUAGGUGAAGUCCCUUGCGGAUGGAGCUGAAAUCAGUCGAAGAUACCAGCUGGCUGCAACUGUUUAUUAAAAACACAGCACUGUGCAAACACGAAAGUGGACGUAUACGGUGUGACGCCUGCCCGGUGCCGGAAGGUUAAUUGAUGGGGUCAGCGCAAGCGAAGCUCUUGAUCGAAGCCCCGGUAAACGGCGGCCGUAACUAUAACGGUCCUAAGGUAGCGAAAUUCCUUGUCGGGUAAGUUCCGACCUGCACGAAUGGCGUAAUGAUGGCCAGGCUGUCUCCACCCGAGACUCAGUGAAAUUGAACUCGCUGUGAAGAUGCAGUGUACCCGCGGCAAGACGGAAAGACCCCGUGAACCUUUACUAUAGCUUGACACUGAACAUUGAGCCUUGAUGUGUAGGAUAGGUGGGAGGCUUGGAAGUGUGGACGCCAGUCUGCAUGGAGCCGACCUUGAAAUACCACCCUUUAAUGUUUGAUGUUCUAACGUUGACCCGUAAUCCGGGUUGCGGACAGUGUCUGGUGGGUAGUUUGACUGGGGCGGUCUCCUCCUAAAGAGUAACGGAGGAGCACGAAGGUUGGCUAAUCCUGGUCGGACAUCAGGAGGUUAGUGCAAUGGCAUAAGCCAGCUUGACUGCGAGCGUGACGGCGCGAGCAGGUGCGAAAGCAGGUCAUAGUGAUCCGGUGGUUCUGAAUGGAAGGGCCAUCGCUCAACGGAUAAAAGGUACUCCGGGGAUAACAGGCUGAUACCGCCCAAGAGUUCAUAUCGACGGCGGUGUUUGGCACCUCGAUGUCGGCUCAUCACAUCCUGGGGCUGAAGUAGGUCCCAAGGGUAUGGCUGUUCGCCAUUUAAAGUGGUACGCGAGCUGGGUUUAGAACGUCGUGAGACAGUUCGGUCCCUAUCUGCCGUGGGCGCUGGAGAACUGAGGGGGGCUGCUCCUAGUACGAGAGGACCGGAGUGGACGCAUCACUGGUGUUCGGGUUGUCAUGCCAAUGGCACUGCCCGGUAGCUAAAUGCGGAAGAGAUAAGUGCUGAAAGCAUCUAAGCACGAAACUUGCCCCGAGAUGAGUUCUCCCUGACUCCUUGAGAGUCCUGAAGGAACGUUGAAGACGACGACGUUGAUAGGCCGGGUGUGUAAGCGCAGCGAUGCGUUGAGCUAACCGGUACUAAUGAACCGUGAGGCUUAACCUU